RNAcentral lists this ribosomal RNA (253 nucleotides) under uncultured bacterium. Its description in RNAcentral is "partial 16S ribosomal RNA". It matches the Rfam family "Bacterial small subunit ribosomal RNA", at positions 524 to 776 of the family's 1533-position model. The record is from RNAcentral.
UACGUAGGGUGCAAGCGUUGUCCGGAAUUAUUGGGCGUAAAGAGCUCGUAGGCGGUCUGUCGCGUCUGCUGUGAAAACUCAGGGCUUAACCCUGAGCUUGCAGUGGGUACGGGCAGACUAGAGUGCGGUAGGGGAGACUGGAAUUCCUGGUGUAGCGGUGAAAUGCGCAGAUAUCAGGAGGAACACCGAUGGCGAAGGCAGGUCUCUGGGCAUUAACUGACGCUGAGACGCGAAAGCGUGGGGAGCGAACAGG